Leptopilina boulardi is the source of this 744-nucleotide long non-coding RNA. RefSeq lists it as uncharacterized. The transcript has 4 exons. The record is from RefSeq and is a predicted model, not a curated record. Lineage: Eukaryota; Metazoa; Arthropoda; Insecta; Hymenoptera; Figitidae.
UGAUAUAAAGACAAUGUUUUUCAAAUCGAUUACAUUUUGAGUUUUAAUAAUUUUCUUUAAAACGACAAAUUUAAAUUUAUUGUGAAUUUCGAAAGGUAAUGAGACGUGUCGGAUUUCUGUGACGGCGGCACGCGCCUUAAAAAACAAAAUCAAAAAAAUACUCCAGUUAGCCACACAAUAGGAGCAGGUGAUAUUCUUAUUGUGGAAACGAUAACGUACAACCAACUUCGAAAUUCAUACAUUUUUUUUCUUUUUGAAAAAAGUCCAAGCCAAUAGUAGAGAUCAGAGGUGGUCCAGAUAGUAGAUGCGUAUCUCUUUUAAUAAUUAUUUAUAUCGAAACAAGGAAUUUUGGAACGGAAGUUGUACUUUUAAGUAUACAUAAACGGGGAAUUAUAAAGUUAGAACGUGACUCCUUGCGAAAUGUCAAAUUGGAAAUUUUGCAUCACCGAGAAAGUGGCAAGCAUGCAAUAAAAGGGCACGCGUUCGAAUUUGCAUCUGGCGCGGAUGAAAUGAAAAAAGGAAAAUCAGUGGCAUUUUGCUUUACGCCAUUGAAAAUAUGAAGGGGGAUGUCCGAUAGGAGUACACAUAUAUAAGCAAAGACCACGGAGACACGCGUCGCCACGUGCAAGGCUUGCGCCGUCGCCGGUCUCGUCGACUCAAAAAUCACCAGCUGCCCCGAUUUGCUUGCGCUAACUCUCUCUUUCUCUUGAUGGUUUCUUGCGAGCGAGUUAAACUAAAAUUAGC